This is a small nucleolar RNA of Myiozetetes cayanensis, 138 nucleotides long. RefSeq annotates it as small nucleolar RNA SNORA64/SNORA10 family. Lineage: Eukaryota; Metazoa; Chordata; Aves; Passeriformes; Tyrannidae. The record is from RefSeq and is a predicted model, not a curated record. The transcript has a single exon.
CAUCUCCCAAUCUGCGCGAUUGCACUUGUGUGCCGUAGUGUAAUUGUCGUAACUGGAGAGAGAGAGAAACUGAGUUUUGUGUGUUCACCAGAGAGACCUCGGCCGUGGUCUUCUCUGUCCUUGCAAAAUCCUACAUUU